This 87-nucleotide transfer RNA is filed under the name Pseudoduganella lurida. RNAcentral describes it as "Massilia lurida tRNA-Leu". It matches the Rfam family "tRNA". Rfam says of the family: Transfer RNA (tRNA) molecules are approximately 80 nucleotides in length. The record is from RNAcentral. Lineage: Bacteria; Pseudomonadati; Pseudomonadota; Betaproteobacteria; Burkholderiales; Oxalobacteraceae.
GCCCCGGUGGUGAAAUUGGUAGACACACCGGACUUAAAAUCCGUUGACCGUGAGGUCGUGCCGGUUCGAUUCCGGCCCGGGGCACCA